This is a long non-coding RNA of Lytechinus pictus (painted urchin), 1425 nucleotides long. RefSeq lists it as uncharacterized. The record is from RefSeq and is a predicted model, not a curated record. The transcript has 4 exons. NCBI's taxonomy places the organism in Eukaryota, Metazoa, Echinodermata, Echinoidea, Temnopleuroida, Toxopneustidae.
AAUCAGAGAACGGCCGAGAAUGGAAACCCGUCGGUCGCUAGCCAGCAGUGUAUACAGAAGCUGUAAUUCUGUUUGUUUCUGACUCAUAAUAUAACUUGAAACAUGGUGGCAGCGGUAAAAAGUUACAUAUUUCCAUAGAACAGUUAUUAUUCUUCUCCCUAAAUUCUAUUAUGUAUCUGCAAACUGUGAUUUGGCCUGGAUUUCGCCAGCUUUCUGAGAGUAAUUCCUGCAUGUGUCCCACAUAUAAUCCCCGAAUCUCGCAUGUCCUUUGUAGCUGUAGGAUGAGAGGAGAUGAGAUGCAGUCUAGUUGUCUUUCCGUAUUCUGCAGUGAAGUUGGACGUAUUUGGAUGGUGGAAACCUGCACUCCUGAUUGAACAGUAUUUUAUUUUGGCUCUAUAAGACUUAAAGCUGACGCUUAGUGACAAGAAAACAAGUUACAGAUGUGGGAAGACUCUGGAAACCUUUGAAGGAAGGAUGAUGCCUUUUUCCUUUGAUGGCAAAGAAUUCUUUCCCGUGGAAGAGCUCGGUAAAGUUGAUAAUGAGCUCUCUCUUUAUCACACAUGUAGAAGACUUUCCUGUUGCAUUGCUGCUUCGCUGUGCCCCUGCUGAGGUGUUGCAGAGGUCUCGUCCAAGGGGACCCCCUAGAUCCGACGCUCUCUGCAUAUUUUUCGUCGUAAGCUUUCUGCUCUUUCUAAGCACGUCUGUUAAAAAGACCUUCUCACCGCAUCCAUGAGACCCUCCCAAAUGACUGCAAUAGCAUACUGAUACAUCCCAUCUUCUCGUGAUUCGUCAGUUUGAUGUUCACAGACUGGACAUUUCCAACCUUCUCCUAGAGAUUUAUAGGUUUGUAAAUACAUGAAUAUUUAAAUACAAUAAUAUCAGACACAUUUAGGACAAAUGCAUGCUUGCUUGAUCAAGUGUAGUAAUGGAUGAAGAGUUUGUAUCACACUUUGUUUUUAUCUUUUAAUAGAAUUGGAAUGCGUUUGUAUCACUGAUCUUGGUGAAAGAUGAGAUUUACGUUUUAUAUGAACGAAAAGUCAAUUUUAAAUGGUUUUGAUCUCUUUUAUCCGUAGUUGAUAACAUUUGGAGAUUUUAAUGCUUUAAAUUGACAUUCAAAGACUUCAAUAGGUAGAAUUAUUUUGCAAUUGUUUGUUUUCUAGGUCUGUGCUAGCAAGCCUUACAUUCCUUACAUCACUCAGUAACCAUUAGCUAAUGCACAUGUUCAACCCUCUCUAUAUGGUGGUUGUGCGUGUAAUUUAAGAUUUAAUUUUUCUUUUUCAAAAGUGAUUUCACUGUGAUUAUGCAGAUUUUUGUGUUCAUUUACUUCAGAGGUUUUCAAGUGGGUCCCUAUAUAGUCUGUUAAAUUGUGCUGUCAAACCAGUACCCUUUCACACAAGUAUUGAUGUAUUCUAUAAAUGACUUUAA